GUUGAAACACCAGUUCCCAUACAAUCACCGAAGUUGAGCAACAUUGAGCCUGUUUAGUAUCUAGAUGAGUGACUAGUUGGGAAUACCAGGUGCUAU
This is a non-coding RNA of Acanthosepion pharaonis, 96 nucleotides long. The record is from the annotation of a GenBank genome assembly. NCBI's taxonomy places the organism in Eukaryota, Metazoa, Mollusca, Cephalopoda, Sepiida, Sepiidae.